AAAAGAAUAAGACAUUUAGAAUAAAUGGUGUUAUUAAAAUCAAUCAAAGAGAUAGAAAACAUAUUAUAUUAAAAAAUAAAAUAAAAAUAAGCCACGCGUAUUUUUCUUUUGUCCUGUUAGCCUCGUACAUAGAUCGAAAAGUAUUUUAUGAACAAAAAAGAUUAUUCUUUUCAGUGUAAAAACCUUUUUUGAUUUUCCUUAUUUGAGAUUAUGGUCCCACUGACAAACAGCUGUGUUUGUUUAACCAAAUGUAUUUAAAUUUUUAAAAGAGAAGGAUCGGUCAAAAUUGAGACAAGAAAACGUAAAAUUAGUGAAUCCGUCUCAGUGGAUAUCCCUGUACCAACGCAGCAAGAAAUUCGGUUUGCUAUUCUUUUUGGAUUUCGGUGUAAGCUCAAGCCUGUGGAAAUAUUUAGUGAGUGCCAAACAGCAUUUGGAGUGCAUGCGCCAUCCCUUGCGACUGUUUCAAAGUGGUUCCGGAGAUUUCACACAGGACGUUUUUCUGUGGAGGACGAAUAUCAAGAAGGCCGUGCAAAAUCUGCAACUGACGAUGUAAAUUUUGCGCUGUUGAAGUCUAAAAUUGACGAAGAUCCAAGAUUGAUCCAGGAAAUAAUUUCUGAAGAACUGGGCUUGAAUACCAUGGCUGUAUCACGAAUAUUACAAAAUUAUCUUGGAUACACGAAAAAAUCUGCACGAUGGCUCCCUAAAAUUUUAACUGAAGCUUGAACUAUAUUGAAAAAAUACAAAAAGAUGAUGAAUACAGAUUGAAAAUUAAAAAGAAAUUUUUUUCUACUCUA
Molecule: RNA transcript, 794 nt
Organism: Drosophila ananassae
Lineage: Eukaryota; Metazoa; Arthropoda; Insecta; Diptera; Drosophilidae
Exons: 2
Source: RefSeq, a predicted model, not a curated record